UAUUAUCAAUUUGCUUUCUUGUUUUCAUUCGCUGCAAAAUUGAAAAGAUAUGACGGACAUGACGAUGAAUGGAGUCCUGUCUAACCUGCGCAGCGUAAUUUGGCGAUUAUGUUCCGGUCAAAUCACAACCAAUAUCCGGAUGCUCACCGUAUGCCGUCACGGAAGAAAAUUAUUUUGGAGGAAUACAACUUUAAGAACCUCUUGUUCAGUACCGUGUUGGCUGUCGGAAUUGUGGAAUUGGCAUAACCGGAACACCGUAACGAUGGCAAACAAAUCCGUCAUGAUGGAUCUCCAGAGAGCAACGAUUCAAUGCUAUGCUCGAUUGAUCAAUAAUUCGUUUAAAAGUGAUGAUAGUUAGUGUGUUUUGUACUGAAAAAAGUGAUAAAUAAAUGGAUAAACUUCGAAA
Uranotaenia lowii is the source of this 406-nucleotide long non-coding RNA. RefSeq lists it as uncharacterized. The record is from RefSeq and is a predicted model, not a curated record. Lineage: Eukaryota; Metazoa; Arthropoda; Insecta; Diptera; Culicidae. The transcript is spliced from 2 exons.